RNAcentral lists this long non-coding RNA (935 nucleotides) under Dermacentor andersoni. RNAcentral describes it as "uncharacterized LOC126535300". Lineage: Eukaryota; Metazoa; Arthropoda; Arachnida; Ixodida; Ixodidae. The record is from RNAcentral.
UGGAUGGGUGGAUGGCGCUUGCGUUUAUCAGACAAUAUGGCCACUUCCACGGAAUGAAAGCUGGUGAUAAUUCGCAAAUCUGAACGACGAUAUUCUAGUUGGUUAUGAAGAAUGUUAAACGUUCUUUUAGCGAUAGUGUCGUUUGUUUUCGCCUUGCUGCUCGUUCUUUUGCUGGUGGGCAUCGGAUGGUACAUUGUGUGGAAGCUGUUUCUAUCACGGUUUCGAUUUGUGCGAGAACUCCUGGUUGCGAACAACGGUGCUUCGGAAGUUCAAGGAACGCCACGAACCCGGAACCGCAAGCCCAGAAUUGACUGAAGUAUGAACUGGCGGGUUGCUGUUACUUCGCCAACACACAUACCCAACAAUCUGUAUUUUUUUUUUUCAUCAAGAAACGGCUUAGAGCAUGUCCAUAAAUGUGAUAUAAUGCUGUGCCGACUGGGGAGGGUGCACGGCAAUGCUGUUGAUGCAUUCGUGAUGUGCAUCGUGUGAAAUCACCCUUGAUGUCCUGAACAUCAUGUGUGAUGUGUCGUGUAUAUCCUCAGCAGAGACGAAGCCUUGUUGUCUUAAUUAUGACUUGUGUGUUUGGGACGCAGCAGCUGUGCAUUGCAGACAUAUGCUGUGGUACACAUAUGCUCAAAUUGUGUGUGGCUAUUAUGUGUGGCUUUUAUUCAGCUUCGUUUGUUGAGUGAUUGCAUGUGAUCGCCUGGUAUGCAGCCUUACUGCUGGGAUGUGUAUAUAUAUUUAUAUAAAAAUUAUGAACUAUAGAAGCAGUGCAGCUAAAAGAAAAAUAGAUUUGUCAUUGAAGUUUGCUGAUUAAAACUGUCCAUAUUUCUGACAGCUUCCUGCACUUGCUUCUUAUUCAUAAAUGAAGCUAGUUGCUUUGAGCGGGGCUUGUAUGCUUACGAGUUUGAUGUGAAUAAAUGUUUUACGAGACA